UAAGCGCCUUGGUUCUUUUCCGUCCACGCUGCCGCCGUUUUGGUCACGUGAGCGGAACUGCCUCCUCCACGGCAGCAACGGUACCCUAGCAACCGUUACCAAGGGCCCCGGCACCAGAGGCGGGGAAGAGAUGGCAAUUUAGAGGGGGCGUUUCGGGCGAAGGGUUGAGAUACCUACUAGAGUGCCAUUAUGAGUGACCAGCUUAAAUUUAUUGUUGAGAAGCUCAACAAGGAACCCUUUAAGAAGAACUUCAACUUAAUCACAUUUGACUCAUUGGAGUCAAUGCAGCUGUUACAGCUGCUAAAUGAUGUUCUGGGAGAGAUUGACCCAAAGCAAGUUGUUGACAUUAGAGAAGAGCUUCCAGAGCAAACUGCUAAACGGAUGUUGAGCCUUCUUGGCAUUCUUAAAUAUAAACCUCCAGGAGGCACCAGUGACUUGAGUACGUUCCGCCAGGGUUUAGUUAUUGGAAGUAAGCCUGUCAUUCAUCCUGUCUUGCACUGGCUGCUUCAACGGACAAAUGAGCUGAAGAAAAGAGCCUACCUUGCACGGUUCCUAAUCAAAGUGGACGUGCCAGCAGAGUUCCUUCAAGAUGAUACCGUGUCAGAUACCAAUAGACAGUAUGAAGAGCUGAUGGAAGCAUUCAAAAACGUACAUAAAGAAUGUGAACAGCUGAAGACUUCUGGUUUCUCAACUGCAGAAAUACGAAGGGAUAUCACUGCUAUGGAAGAGGAGAAGGAUCAGCUGAUGAAGAGAGUAGAGCGUCUUAAGAAGCGUGUGGAGACAGUGCAGAAUCAUCAGCGGAUGCUUGAAAUGGCAAGGCAGCUUCGAGUAGAGAAGGAGAGGGAGGAAUCUCUCUCACAGCAGAAGCAAGAACAGAAAAAUCAGCUUUUUCAUGCAGAGCAGAGGCUGCAAAGAGUCCAACUCCAGCUCAAGGAUAUGCGUCAUGCAGCAGUGGAUUCAAAGCCAGAAAGCUUAAUGAAGAGACUGGAAGAGGAGACAAAGUUCAAUACAUAUUUGGUCUCUGAAAAAUUUCCUAGAGAACUGGAAAUAAAGAAGCAGUCGCUGUACUUCUUGCAGAAAGUAGUUGCAGAGCCAGCAAUGGGCCAGACUGAUCUCAACGAGCUUGAAACCAAAAUAAAUGAGGUCAACAUACAAAUCAAUCAGUUGAUUGAGAAGCGGAUGAUGAAAUAUGAACCAAUCGAUAGUAAAUUUUCAAUGUAUCGACAACAGGCCUCCAUCAUUUCCCGGAAGAAGGCAGCCAAGGCCGAAGAGCUUCAGGCUGCCAAGGAAGAGCUGUCCAACCUAGAGAAGCAAAUGUUGCAGAAGUCAAGCCAAGCCCGGGAACUGAAUGGCGCCGAGGUCUUGAAAGGGGAUGAGUUUAAGCGGUAUGUCAAUAAGCUUCGGAGCAAAAAUACGCUUUACAAAAAGAAGCGCCUGGAUAUAGCAGAAAUUACAGCUGAGUAUGGCAUCCUGCAGAGAACAGAGGAGCUCCUAAAACAACGCCAUGAAGAUAUCCAGCAGCAGCUGCAAGCAAUUGAAGACAAGAAGGGUAUCUCUGGAUACAGCUAUACACAGGAGGAGCUAGAGAGAGUGUCAGCCGUGAAGAGCGAAAUGGAUGAAAUGAAGGGUCGGACUCUGGAUAACAUGUCUGAAAUGGUGAAAAAACUGAAUGCUAUGGUGGCUGAUAAGAAGUCAAGCCUUGCUCCGAUUAUCAAAGAUUUAAGGCAGUUGCGACAGAAGUGUCAGGAAUUGACCCAAGAAUGCGGAGAGAGAAAAACCCAGUAUGACAGCUGUGCAGCAGGCCUGGAGAGCAACCGUUCUGCACUGGAGCAGGAGGUGAAGGCCCUUCAUGAAGAGUGUAUUCAGGAGGAAAGCCGCUAUCAUCACGUCAACUGCAUGAAAAAGAUCCUAGAAGUCAGCCUUCAGCGUGCCAAAGACGAGAUGAAGAUGUAUGUUUCUUCAGAUCUGCAGGAAAGAAGAAAGGCAAUCAGGGAACAAUACACGCGGAUGAUCACGGAACAAGAAAACCUUGGAAAGAAACUGCGAGAGAAGCAGAAGAGUGUGCGGGAAAGCCAUGGUCCAAAUCUGAAGCAAGUGAAAAUGUGGCGAGAUUUCAAUCUGCUCAUGGAGUGCAAGAAGGAAUGUUUCCUCAAGCAGCAAAACCAAGCAUCCAUUGGCCAGGUCAUUCAGGAAGGAGGAGAGGAUCGGCUGGUCUUGUGAAUCAAGCUGUUUGCUAUCCUAGCCAUACUGAGCAUCAAUUCUGUUCUGAAAAUUGGUCUAGUUCUACAACUGUUUCUACAAAAGUUAAAUUUCUGGUUGCUGCUUGGAAAAGUCCCAGCCUAAAUAGAAUGGCAAUGGUUUCCCAGUUUGACUGGGAGCCUUUUCAGCCACUCCUUGUAUUAAGGAGAGAAAAUAACACUCAUUCUACAGGUACUGCAGAUGCAAAGUUGCUCUAUCACUUGGAGGCCAGUUUAAGCAGUGGGACGGGCUCCGUGUUCGAUUACUGCAUUGAAAUGGCUUACGGGCAAAGGUCUAGCCCAUGUGUUGAGCUGAAAGCUGGCUGUUUUCACAGAGAGACCAAGGUAAAUGAUACUCCCCAGGCCCAAAAAAAGUUCAGAGUUCUAAUUCUGAAGCUUCUACAUCCAAGCAGCAGGAUAUACUGUGCCAGAAAGCCAAAGUUGCUUCCAAGAAGUCCGCUCACCCCACUUAGUCAUGCACAAACCUGACAUAUUGCUUCCUCUUGGUCCUGGGAAAAGGAUGCUCAUUUAUCUUCCAACGGCAGAGCAGGGUUUAAAUUCUCAGCACGUUUCUUAAACAUGCAUUUUUUUGCUUCAAAGUAUGUGCAGGCCUAUAACUUCAUCAGGUGUCAUCUUUAAAUGGCCACUCCCGCUGGAGAGCUGCACUGGAGUUUAGAAGCAAUAGGCAAAGCUUGGGGAAGCAAAGUGUGGCCAGUUGAUACAAGGGCCUCUGAUCCCUGUCAUUAGACUUCUCAUGAGUCUCCCUGGCUCCCUUGAGAUAAGCAAAGGGUGUGUAAAGAAAAUUUACUAGCUGGACUAAAACUAGUAAAUUUAGUCCUUGGACUAAAACUGAGGUGCAGGAACUUCCAAAAGUUUCUUGCUUCCCUUAGGCCUUUGACCUGUAGCAAAGUCAUUUAGAAACAUAUGAAAAGGAGUUAUUCCAACCUUUUCUAGCUUUGUUAGAACAAUGGCAUUUUAACAUUCCCUGUAGCUUUCUGCUCUCUGCCUAAUUUUUCCUGGUUGAUAUUAAAUUAAUAUAUUUCAUUAAAUGUAGCCACAGAGACAAUAAAGUCUAACAUUCACAUUGUCAUUCUUCUGUCCGCUUGUUCAGUUCCCCAUUGUCCAUACUUAAUAAAGAACAGGAGUUUAUUGGCUGUCAGACUCCACUUCACCUCUCCGAUUUACGCUUUUGAGAAGUCAAAAGGCUUUGCUUUCUGACUCGGGGACAAAUGCUGUCAGAUAUGGAACAGAGGUGAUCUGUAAAGAAACCACACAUAGAGUCCAAGACCUUGCUGCUCUAUUGUCUUACAAUUUAACAAGAAAUGGUGUGACAAAGUUAAGUGCUGAUCUGAAUCGGGAGCUACGGUAUAAACCCUCACCUCCUCUACCAGUGAGAAAACAUGCAUUACUGAAUGAAAAACUAGAGAGCCAUAGAAAGAGCAGGCUGUGAAGAGUGUACAUGAGUUAUGCACCUGUUUUCAACCACCUGUUUGUUGCAUUUAUGCUUUACAUUUUUAGAUAAAUCCCCCCCCCCGGUGGUGCUCCACUUCCUCUACUUCAGCCUUCCCUACUCUCAAAUGAAAAUUGCAGUCUGCAACAUGUGGUUUUGUGUGGGCAAAUGUGAUAAACUUGUACAGUUCUUAAAUGUAUAAAAUAUAUGUCAGAAAUUAUUUGAAAACUUUCAUUUCCAUAUGAUGCAGAUGUAAUGCAAAUAUGCUUAAUUUGAAUAGGUUUUUUCUAAAAAAGAAUUUGAUAUUUGCAGGACCAAAAUGUGAUUUUUAACCCUGAAGACUGAGUGAUAAUCACACUCAUGUCUGCAAAAUCCUGGUCUUCCUUGUUCAUUGUUCCUUGUGCUGGUGGAACCAACAGUAAAGUGUCUGAGUUUUCAAAGGAAGGAUCAGUCAGCCAGUUCCUGAAACUUAGGUCUCUGGGGGAGAUAGAUUAAGCAGGGUCUAAAUUAAAGCACAGUUGGAGGAGAGAAAAGGGUUAGCAUGCUUCUAAGUGUGAGAAAAUGUAUUGGGUGGGAGGAGAGAAAUGUAAAUAGCCAGUGCCCAAGGCGAUCUCAGUGGAAAUAGAGCUGCAAAGUAGCUCCGAUUCUGCCUCUGAGGUAUUUUUUGAGGCCUAAAUAGCAGCUUGAUAGGACUUGGGAGGUUCACUGCCAUUUGAAAAUCCACCCCGGAGCCCUUAAAUCAUAUUUAUUACCCACUAAAUCAUUUAGCCAUCCUACGACACAGCCUGUGGCCACAGCAGUGAGCACUUUUGAAAUCUCAGGCCAGUGGUUAGAAAUAAGACUGAAAUUCCCCUUUCUGGCUUCUCAUGUCAACAGCAGAGAGAUUCGAGGAAGAUUUGGGAUGUAAUUUGCUUUCUCUUCUCCCCCCCCCCCCCAAUCUGCAGAAAGUAGUCAGAUUGUAACAUCUGUUGACAUUUUGCAGAUAAGGUAGGAAUGCCAGUUGCUGGAAACCCUCUUGCCCUGUUUGUGGGCUUCCCCUGGGGGCAUCUGCUUGGCCACUGGGAGAACAGGAGGCUGGACUAGAUGGGCCACUGGCCGGAUGCAGCAGCCAGGUGCUCACCAUUGAUGGGGAACUUCAGGGUCUCUGUGCUUUCUUGCAGGGAAGGGGGUCUUCAACUUCAAACUGGACUGGGGCCAGACAGCUGUUCAAGUGCAGUAUUCUUCCUUCAGCACUGGCACCUAAAAUCACAUAGGCACCUAAAAUCCCAGGUGGAGAUUUAUCAGCUCAGUGAGAACCAGACCCAAGCGCCCUUGAGGAAUGUAGCUCAGGAGCAUCCUUGUAAUCUGCUUAAUAUGCCUAGUGUGACAGCCAACAUCACCAAAGAGGAUGUGUCCAGUUUAAGAAAAUAAUACCUUUGUCAUGAACUCACCAGGUGGCCUGGCACACUCAUUUUCAGCUUCUUCUCCCUCACCUUCAACGUUUCAUGGACAGAGACAACUGUUAACAUGCUCCAGUCACAUCCAUAAAGUGCCUCAGUGUUUGAGGCAGUAUGCCUCUAGAUACCAAUUGCUGGCAACCCCAGGAGGGAAGAGUGCUCCUAUGAUUGGGUCCUGCUUGUGGGCAUCUGCUUGGCCUCUGUGGGAGCAGGAUGCUGGACUCUUCUGUAUGUUUUUAAGCUCCCGUUGCAUCUGCUUGUGUAAGGCUCACCAUUGUUUGUUCUGCAAAAAGGACCUCUGCUCCCGAGGAGGGGGGCAGUCUAAAAUUGAAAGUGGAAAAGGAGAGUAGCAAAGUUCAAAUGGGCGUGAAUGCAGUUCUAGUCAAGCUUGGCUACAGUUGGAGGUAAGGAUUUAAGGAGUUGAAGCCAGGGGUCUCUCAGAAAAGGUACGGUAAUCAUAGCUAGUAUUCUGCUGUCAAGCCAGUGACGAUGUGAAGUCUAAAUGAAGGCAACCUAUAAUCUUGGAACAGAACGGCAUAACAGGCCUGUCCUUUGCGGGAGCUGAGAUCCAUAUUGAUAGAAACAUUCUCAAUCCCUGAGGAUUGCACUGUGAAACCAAGGAAUGGCCUUAGGGCGUAUGAGGCCACCACCUUGCCGAAGCUGAGCAAGCCAGAGCCAGGGCCUGCGGGAACUGCAGAGUGGGAAGGGACCCCGAGGGUCAUCUAGUCCGACCCCCUGCAAUGCAGGGAUCUCAGCUAAAGCAGCCAUGACAGAUGGUCAUCCAACCUCUGCUUAAAAACCUCCAAGGAAGGAGGCUCAAUACCUGGAUGGGUCUCUACCUGGGAACCACAUGUUCGCUACCUUCAGUAACAGAAGGAAGGCAGGAUAUACCUGUAAGAAUAUAGGAAUCCAAAUCUUUAUUGCUUAGCCAGGAGUAUACAGAAGUGCAAUAAAAAUGGAAUGCCAUUCAAAACAUAAUUAAAACUAAGUAAGAGCACCUAUUGCAAUUUCUAUUAUAAUAAUAAUUUCAAAAUUAUAGCACACAUUACAGAAAAGACGCACUUUAGCAACAGAACUGACAGACCCCCUACUGUCUGAUAUAUCGUGGAAAACGCUGGAACCUGUGUAAAACAGGUCUCUUAUAUCUAGGUAAACAGCGUUUCCAUGCGCUUUGGCACUUGUCACAGUCCUCUGUGCCCCAGAAGCGGUUUAGUCCAGCUGGCCACAUGACCCAGAAAGCUGUCUGUGGACAAACGCCGGUUCCCUCGGCCUGAAAGCGAGAUGAGCACUGCACCCCAUAGUCGCUUUUGACGGGACUUAACAUUUUUUACCUUAUAUAUAGGAAUCCAUUUAUUACAAUGAUUGUGCAGGUCUGUAACUGGGUCAUUUAUUUAAUUUUAUUUAAAAUAGUUCCAUUCGACCGCCAAGGCUUAGGUUUGAAAGGGGCAUAUACCAAAAUUUUAAAUCCAUACAGAGAAUUAAAAUCAGAACAAUGGUAAAAGGCAUCAGCAAUAAAAACAGUAAGAACAACUGCAGGGAAACAUAGUCCAAAAGCUUAAAAUGCAAAACCCAUUAAGGAUGCUCUAAAAUGAUCCUAAAUGCCGUCAAAGCUCACACAAACAGCAGUAUGUUAACCAGUACCUAAAGGUCACAGAGAAGAAAGACAGCUGGGCAAAUGGACCGGAGUAAAUGGACAACCAGGGCCCUGCCUUGAAUGCAUUUUUGGUUAAAUUUGUCUCACCUUUCAGUGUAAAGUCAUUCCAGGGCAGGUCACACUAUGCAGUGUUUCCCAACCAGUGUGCCUCCAGAUGUUUUGGGACUACAACUCCCAUCAUUCCUGACCACUGGUCUUGCUAGCUAGGGAUGAUGGGAGUUGUAGUCCCAAAACAUCUGGAGGCACACUGGUUGGGAAACACUGCACUAUAGCAUACUAAAUCACAUAAGAGUUAAAACAGCAAGCAUCACAAUAUGCAGGUAAAUAAAACCAAUCUCCAUGGAGUUUUCUUGGCAGGGAUACUGGAGUGGCUUGCCAGUUCCUUCUCCAGGUGGAUCACAUUUAGUCAAAACUCUCCACUAUGACCUGUCCAUCUUGGGUGGCCGUGCAUGGCAUAGCUCAUCGCUUCUCUGAGUUAUUCAAGCCCCUUCGCCACAACAAGGCAUUGAUCCAUGAAAUUAAAAGACACCUGCUUCUUGGGAGAAAAGCAAUGACAAACCUAGACAGCAUCUUAAAAAGCAGAGACAUCACCUUGCCUACAAAGGUCCGUAUAGUUAAAGCUAUGGUUUUCCCAGUAGUGAUGUAUGGAAGUGAGAGCUGGACCAUAAAGAAGGCUGAUCGCCGAAGAAUUGAUGCUUUUGAAUUAUGGUGCUGGAGGGACUCUUGAGAGUCCCAUGGACUGCAAGAAGAUCAAACCUAUCCAUUCUUAAGGAAAUCAGCCCUGAGUGCUCACUGGAAGGACAGAUCGUGAAGCUGAGGCUCCAAUACUUUGGCCACCUCAUGAGAAGAUAAGACUCCAUGGAAAAGACCCUGAUGUUGGGAAAGAUUGAGGGCACUAGGAGAAGGGGACGACAGAGGACAAGAUGGUUGGACAGUGUUCUCGAAGCUACGAACAUGAGUUUGACCAAACUGCGGGAGGCAGUGCAAGACAGGAGUGCCUGGCGUGCUAUGGUCCAUGGGGUCACGAAGAGUCGGACACGACUAAACGACUAAACAACAACAACAAAACCAAUCUCACACAUGCCCUACGUCUGUAAGCAGGCCCACUGUUAUUUGAUAAGCCUGGCAGAAGAGGAAUGUUUUUAGCUGGUGGCAAAAGCCAGCUAAUAUCCAUGCCAGCCUAAUGCUGGAAGGAAGGGUAUUCCACAGCCAGGGGGCCGACAGCAAAAAGGCCCUAUUAUGAGUCCUAUAUCCCCCCUGCUGCAGGUCGGGGGGGGGGUUGAGCCUGACAGAAUACAGUACUGCCUUGCCCAAGGCCAGCUUGGAAGAUUGAGGCAGAACUGGGGACAGUUUUUUAGCCACUACAUCAGGCAUAAGCAAACUCAGCCCUGUAAAUGUUUUGCUACUACAACUCCCAUCAUCCCUGACCACUGGUCCUGUUAGCUAGGGAUGAUGGGAGUUGUAGUCGGGCCAAGUUUGCCUAUGCCUGCGCUACACCAACACCCAUCAGCUGGUGGGUGGCACCAUUGGACUAUGGUAAUGGAUGAUGGGAUUUGUAGUCCAACCAUCCUGGAAAGGCCACAGAUUCUGCACCCCUGCACUAUACCACAGCAGCUCUACAACUUUAUGAUUCAGCAGAGCCACAUUUUUGCAAGUGUGUGUACAUUUUGCAAAAAAAGCUAGGAGAAAAAAAGAACGCCUUUGAGUCUCAUGGCAGUAUCGAUUUCUGUUCUAUAGCAGCUUAGACAUAAAGUGUGCCUCUUAAUUCUGGAAAGAGGCCUUUGGGCGGGAGAACAUUUCUAUGUGGCCUGAAUGCUCUUCAGCUGGAGCAGAAGCAGCAGAUGGGAAGCCAGAGUUCCUGAGAGGUUCCUUUGCAUUGCCUGAAGCUCCCCUGCCGGUGCUACCUUUGAUAGUGACAGUUAAAAGGAAGAACAAAGAAAGGAACCAGGGACCCCAAAGGAUUGCUUCCCACACACCUGACUUGGUGCUUUAAAAGCCUGGAGGAACUUUCCAGAAAAAUAAAACAAACAGUGGCGUAGCAGGGGAGGCAGGGGGGUAAUGGCCCUGAGCGCAAAUUUCUGAGGGGGCGCAAACAGGCACCCCCAUGACAGGCUUCCUCAUCCAGGCCAGAGGCACAGGAAGGCAAGCCGCGCCCAGGCAGGCCUUCAGGACUGGGGUGGCGCCUCCGCCUCCUCAUGGCUGGCAAAAGGAUGCCCGCCUGCAGCCUGUUUCUGGGCCGGCUUUGCAUUAGAGCAGGCAUGCCCAAACUUCAGCCCUCCAGAUGUUUUGGACUACAAUUCCCAUCAUCCCUAACCACUGGUCCUGUUAGCUAGGGAUCAUGGGAGUUGUAGGCCAAAACAUCUGGAGGGCCGCAGGUUGGGCAUGCCUGCAUUAGAGCUAGUUUGCAAGGAGAGACUCCCUUGAUUAGACACUGGCCGGUGAAGACUGACCGUUGCCCAGUCCACCAUUUGUGUGUGUGUGUGUGUGUGUGUGUGUCCAACACCUGCCCCACCCCGGGUGUCAGCAAUCCACGCUUUGCUCCUGGAAUAAAAUUAAGCUGUUCUGGGUUACGCUUGUGGCCUUUAUAGGCAGCUAUGCAGAAAUCAGCCUAUGAAAGAUUUCACUUGGUAGAGAUAAGCACUGAAUGGCUGCGCAUCAAGCUGCUGAUAAAAGCACAGCCACUCUUACUCUGGCUAGUAGAAAAGUUGGCAACUCCAGGAGAAAAGCAAGGAUCUUUUGAUGCCUCCUCCUCAGUGCAACAAGGGUUGCAUGCCCCCUUUGUUUCUGGAAAGACUUUAAUUGUUCAAUAGUGGGUUGACAUAGCAGACGACACAGCUAUUUCUCCAAAGCAGCUCUUUAUUUGGAAGUUGGAACAGAACUGAACUGAACUGCUGAGCCGGCCUGCUUUUAUAGACGGCUGGCUCAAACAAUGUAUCAAACCAAAUUCAAAGUUCCCUCCUAAAGUUCCCGCCUAAAACAACUGCCAAGGACCUGAGGGAAAACUAUAUACACCUAUACAUAACAUUAACUGUGAUAAGGAUAAGAUAAAGCAGGACAACGUUAAAUUUCUAAAAAGGAAAGCAAUGUCCAAACAAUAGGAAGUUAUUUUUUUAUUUUUCCUUUUUAUUUUCUCUUUGGUACCUUUUUUCCGUUUUUUCCCCUUUCUUUUCCUUUAUUUCAUUAUUUGUAAAUCUGUAUUUGUAUUUUUUUUAAAAAAAUUCUGUAUUACUUUUGUAUUAUUCUUGAGUUGUAUUAUUUUUUGAGUUUUCUUGAAUUUUCUUUGUAUUUUUGUAUUUUUUAAAGUAUGCAAAUUAAGAUUUCUUUCUUUCUUUUUUUAAACAUUAACUGUGACGUGGGCGUGGGUGUGUGGGUUCAUGGCACACAGACGUGCACAUGAGUCAGCGCUUGAGUGCAAGAGUCUGUGGGUGGGGUGGCCUCACCCACUUUUGGCCGCACCCACUGCUGGCACAGAGCCCCUAGAGCAGGGGUAGGCAACCUAAGGCCCGGGGGCCAGAUCCGGCCCAACUGCCUUUUAAAUUCGGUCCGUGGACGGUCUGGGAAUCAGCGUGUUUUUACAUGCAUAGAAUGUGCCCUUUUAUUUAAAAUGCAUCUCUGGGUUGUUUGCGGGGCAUAGGAAUUUGUUCUUUCCCCUCCAAAAAAAUAUAGUCCGGCCCCCCACAAGGUUGAAAAAGGUUGCUGACCCCUGCCCCAGAGGGCUGGUCAAGGAUGAAUGUGGGCAGUCCUUCCUUGGGAUGAAAAGGGUUAGCCACCCCUGCUUUUCAUAUCUGGAGGGCAGGCAGAAAUCCAACAGGCACAGCUUUUCCUCAUCAGCAAAGAAAUCUAACGUGAGCUGGAGCAUUGAAAAGGUGAAGAACCUGGCUGGAGGUAUUUUGCUCGGCACCCACAGGCCGCCUUAAUUAAAUGAGUGCCCUCUUGAAAGUGCUGCCUCAUUCAGCGCUUAAAAGCACCCAGAAAGCCUAAGAAGAUUUCAGCAAAUUCUGAGUCAUUCACUUCUCUGCCAUGCAGUAUUGUUGAGGGAGAGAGUGAGGAGUAUAAUCACCCCAGCAGGGAUUAUUUGGUGCCAGGAUGGAGGCCUGAAGAUCUGGGGUUGCCAGCCUUUUGACAAGCCCUUCAACAUACGGUUUACCUGCAGCAAUUAGCAAGUGAUGAAAUUUAGCUAUGCUGUGUUAAUUUUACAGCUAAUGGGGCCUGCUGCUGACGCAUCAUUGACUGAUUUCUGUGUAUGAAAGUGCUGUUAAAUUCAUAGGUGCAGGGAAAGACAGGACUGCAGAAACAUAGAACUGCAGAAGAUGAUGUAUAGAUGGUAUUUAACACCAGUAAAAUUGGCUAAGAUGUUUAGGAUGAGUAGCAAAAUAUGCUGGAAAUGUAAAGAGAAAGACGGUGAAUUUUAUCAUAUGUGGUGGACAUGCGACAAAAUUAAAAGAUUUUGGGAAAUGAUAUAUAAUGAAAUGAAAAAGAUUUAUAAAUAUACUUUCCCCAAAAAACCAGAAGCUUUUUUAUUAGGAAUUAUAGGACAAGAGAUAAUGAAAAGAGAUCAAGUAUUAUUUAUGUACGCGACAACUGCGGCUAGGACUUUGUUAGCCCAAAAAUGGAAAACUCGGGAGUUACCGACGAUUGAAGAGUGGCAGACGAAAAUGAUGGACUAUGCAGAAUUAGCAAGACUGACUAGCAGGAUCCGAAACCAGGGAGAGUCAAGGUUCCAAAAGGACUGGAGUAAAUUUGUGGACUAUAUGGAGAAGAACUGUAUAAGUUUAAAAACACUUGCAGGACUGAAAUAAAUCCUACGAAUCGACUUUAAGUAGAUGAAAUAAAGGAACUGCGAGAUAGGAGUGAAUAAGAAAACCGAAUGGGGGGAAGGAGGGAAGUCAAAGCUCGGCAGAGCAAAGAAAAUCGUAAGGAUUGAUAAGAUGUUAAGAAGAGAAAUUUUGUGUUUACUAUGUUUAUUAUGUGUUGUUGUGUUUGUGAUUGUAUGUGUGGUUUGUUUUUGUUUAAAUGUGUUUAAUUGGAAAAUCUAAUAAAUU
Non-coding RNA from Zootoca vivipara (common lizard), 11819 nucleotides. Lineage: Eukaryota; Metazoa; Chordata; Lepidosauria; Squamata; Lacertidae. The record is from RefSeq and is a predicted model, not a curated record.